Long non-coding RNA from Syzygium oleosum, 1949 nucleotides. RefSeq lists it as uncharacterized. The transcript is spliced from 2 exons. NCBI's taxonomy places the organism in Eukaryota, Viridiplantae, Streptophyta, Magnoliopsida, Myrtales, Myrtaceae. The record is from RefSeq and is a predicted model, not a curated record.
GGGACGAGGCUAUCGCAAGUGAUACAAGGCAUGGAAUUUCACGAUCUCCCACGAACAAACCUGUCUCUAGACACUCGAGAUAAGUUUUUAGAUGAUCAAUUCGCUUUGCUAGGUAACAUGGUCGGGGAUGAACUUAAAUUGCAGAUUUGCUGCCUCUCAGUUGAAGAAACUCUCAUUGCACUCCAUUUAGCAUAUUCCAUCAUCAACCCUGAUUGAUAUUGUCUGUGUUUUAGCUGAAGAACUGCAGGAGCGGGACGGAGAAUCGGCUCCUCUUUUGACUGUGCCCCUUAUUUUGCGGUCAAUUUCCGAGUCCUUGCGGAAAAUUGCUGUGAAAAUACUCGAGUUUACUCGUCGGAGGUCCUUUUCUUUGUCUGUCUUAUUUGUAUGUUCAUCUUCUUUUGUGAUUGUUUGUCCUGAAACAGAUGUUAUCUGGAACAGACAUAGAGAGGUCUGUGUACAUCCCGAAGACCGUUGUAGCUCAAAAAGUUUCGAGCAUCUUGUUUAGCCUUUGGUAUCCGAAUAAUCUGUCGACAAACCCCUCCCCCAGCAACUGUUGUGAAGUGGUCCAUGUCGAACCAGUCCCCCGAUUUCCACUUUUUCAAGUCCAAUAAAGCCACUAUUUUUUUUUUAAUAAUUUCAUGAGUGUCGCAGGUAAAAUCACUGGGAACUUCUCAACUGACUUAUCCUGGUAGAUUUUCUCGGAUUCUUCUAUAAUAGUAUAAGACUAUUAGCGACUUGACAUGAUUUUCUUUCGAGGUAGUCAAGUUCAAUUCUGGAUGUCUGUCCAUAUCAUGAAUUGAAUUGAAAUUGGCACAUAUGUACUCUGAAGUGUUGCAUUUAUAAAUCAAGGAGAGCCAUACGGACUUUGACCAGAAAUUCCCAUUGGCUCUUUGUUUUUGCUUCUUUUCUCCAGUGGUUUAUACAUAUUCAUAUCUUGUUCUGACUCUGUAUUUUAAUCGAUGCGGCCUACAUCGACACUAGAGUUAACCAAGAUAUCUGGGCAUUAUUCGGCUUUUCUUGAAGUAGUCAUUGCUUUUCCUUUUAGUAGAAAAGGACAUUUCAAUAUAGAAUGCCUGUGUUUAUUGACUUGAUAUAAUCACCCAAUCCUUGGAUACAGUUGGCCAGAAAAUAAUCUGUGAUAAUCAAAUCAAAAACCCAAGGGGACCUGCAUUACACUGUGGACUAUCAAAUAAACCUAUAUAGGUGUGUGCGCACACAAUAUGUAUAUGUAAUCAUAUGGAGGGACGGUAUGAAGUCGACAGAUCUCUGUUUAUUUUUGUAGCUUCCUUGAAUUGGUCCUUAUGAGGACGAUGCUAAAUAAGAUGUCUGGUAAAUACAUUGAAUGAACCUAUAUAGGUGUGUGUGCACACAAUAUGUACAUGUAAUCAGAUGGACUGUAUGAAGUUCACAGAUCUUAGAUUAUCAUUGUAGCUUUUCUUGAAUUGGUCUUCAUGAGGAUGAUGCUGCCUCUGGUGCAUACAUAACAUUGCGCCAAGUAACUCUCCUAUAAACUGAGCAUACAGUGCCAGAUCAUGGCAUCAUUUUAUUGUGUUGUUAGACAGAUCAUGCUCCUUCGCCUUAUGGAGAAAAAGAAACAGGGCAUAAGUUGAAGUUGAACUUGUCCUUGCAUGGUGUUUCCUUGAGUAGUAUAAUAUGUCUGAACUCUGAACUGCUAAAAGAGACCGUCUAGUUCUUUAUGCAGAAACUAAGUUCUGACCUUUUGAAACUUGAAAGAAUGCUAUGCUUCUCUUCAGCAGGAUACUAAAGUCAAAUCUUUCGAAAGUUGCGACGUGAUUGCUCCACAAGACGAAGCUAUUGGCGCAAAAAAAGCUUAUAAAAAUUUCUACCUUUGUGGUAGCUUGGGAAGCAAUCAAUUAGUUCCUCGCUUUUCUCACUCUCUUUCUUGAUUUGUUGUUGUUUUAGGAAAGUGACAAAGUGCAUGUCCAUUA